GAAUUUUAUAUUAUUUAUUUUUUAUUUAUAUUAUAUUAAAAAUAAUUUAAUAUUUAGUUGGGAGGACUAUUAAAUAUAAUAAACUUUAAAAAUAUUAAAAACUUUAAUUAAAGAUUUAUAAAAUAAAAGAUUGAUAUUAAUAUUAUAUUAGAUUAAAUUACCUUAGGGAUAACAGCGUUAUAUUUUUAGAAAGAUCAUAUUUAUAGAAAUGUUUGC
This 216-nucleotide ribosomal RNA is filed under the name Apterostigma auriculatum. RNAcentral's name for it is "partial large subunit ribosomal RNA". Lineage: Eukaryota; Metazoa; Arthropoda; Insecta; Hymenoptera; Formicidae. The record is from RNAcentral.